UUACACCACCAUUUCUUUAGACAAAAAUACAUAUACCAACAUAAUCUUGUUUUAAGUUUUAAUGUUUAUUUUCCCAAGACAGCCUAGCCUGCAUUCUACUUGGAUAAAUUUCACAAGCUAGUUUUCUGCUGCAUCUAGUUAAACUUUUAACCAUGUUUCUUGAUGACAAGGAAUGCUGCAAAAAUACUCUAGUCCAACAAAGAGUUAUGAUCACAAAAUAAUUUGUAUCCAUUCUACUGCAUUUCAGAAUUACCAGCGGAUUUAAAAAAAACACAAGGUAGAGAUAUAGAUGCUAAUGGUGGCUAACCUGGUACGUUUUCUUACAGCAAACUGUUGAUCAUGCAACACUUGUGCUCAAAGGGGAAGGCACAGCAUUUCCUACAAUGAGCCACCUUAUAAAGAGUUUUCUUUUUGUACAUAUUUGUAAUGUUAUCUUUAAUUUAGUGUGCAGAACCUCAAAUUGAGGUAUUAUUCCAAUUACAAAAACCACUUGCAUUUUCAUGCAAGUUAAGAAUACAAAGUUCUCUCUAAAGUGGCUCAAAAUAGAUUGUUCAUGGCUGUCUACAUCUAAAGAUAAAAGUCUAGAACAAUUGGACAGAUUAGGUGGUAUCAACAGUGUUCAAACCAUGACUUGAUUUGUACAUCUAUUCACAUCUCCAAUCUUUUCAGCAGUACAUAUGCACCAAAUUUUAUUUUGAGGUUUCCAUAUCAUUUUCAUAGAAAACAAAGUUGAAAACAAUUAACAUUGAAACACAGCACGGUAUUCUACCACAACAGAAACAGCUGGUUACAGGACUCAACAAAAUCUAAAAAUGAGCUAUGCUGUAGAUUACCGCAUGCAAAAAUAGCUUUGUGUCACCUCUGAAAAUGAAAAGAUGAUAAACAUUGUUUUCUAGUAUUAUGAUAAUUUUUGUGUACUGCAACACAAUAGUUAGAAGAGGGAAAUGUAUGGAUUCCAUGCAAAAAUCUACACAAAAUAGUUUUGAUAUGGAAAACUUUUUUUUGUAAUAAUGAGCAAUCAUCUGGUGCAAAUGCACAGGGAAGCCUUCCUCAAUGUUUUCUGACUUUACAAGCAACUAGUAAUAAGCCAUACAGGAAAUAAAAUAACUAAAACUGAAAGGGAUAAAAUAAAAUAAAAACACAGGCUGCAGGAGUAAAACCAUAGUCUGCUGCUAAACCGGUCUCUUUUUUUGUGUGUCCAGUGUUAUAACACUUAUGCACUCCUUUUGAUGAUUGACUAGGGUUAUUAUCAGCCCCCUGAAGGCAAAUCAAGCUUGCAUGCAUUCACAUACAGCAUCACAACCAUACUCUCGUACACACCCCACUCCAAGACUAGGAGUCUGCUUUAUGAGCUAAAGAGCCCUAGAUUUGAAAAACACACGUGGCCCCACAGCACUGAGUCCAGACAUUCACUCAAUGUUGUCCAUUCACACGGUGCUUCAUUAGCAAGGCCUGGGCUCAUUCUCCUUGGACUUAUAUGGGCAUCCUAUUCUCCUUUAUGCUUACAUGGCUUGAUGAUAGAAUAGUACUGCAUUUUCCCCACAAUUGCGCUAAUUAAAUCAAUGUCCCUCCUCAGGCACUGAAUUUCUUUGACCUGUAGCCCUUUUCCUUUGAACAACCUAUAUAAGCAUUCAGUGUGAAGUUUUUCAUUACAUUUUGCCACUCACUCUCACUCGCACCCACUCGCCAUCUU
Molecule: non-coding RNA, 1693 nt
Organism: Pseudonaja textilis
Lineage: Eukaryota; Metazoa; Chordata; Lepidosauria; Squamata; Elapidae
Source: RefSeq, a predicted model, not a curated record